RNAcentral lists this transfer RNA (100 nucleotides) under Asanoa ishikariensis. RNAcentral's name for it is "tRNA-Thr". Lineage: Bacteria; Bacillati; Actinomycetota; Actinomycetes; Micromonosporales; Micromonosporaceae. The record is from RNAcentral.
UGCUCACCCUGGUCGCCGUGGCCGGGCUGGGCUGGCUGGUGGCCGGCUACAUCGUGCGGGCCCUCGGGCUGCCCCGGUUCGACUAUCCGAUGGUGGGCGA